UUCACUUCAGCGUCAGAUCUACUAAAACAGGAACAACACAGAGAAGAUUAGCAUGUUCCCUGUACAAGGACGACAUGCAAAUUUAUCAAGUGUACCAUAUUAUA
Molecule: small nuclear RNA, 104 nt
Organism: Fukomys damarensis (Damara mole-rat)
Lineage: Eukaryota; Metazoa; Chordata; Mammalia; Rodentia; Bathyergidae
Source: Ensembl